GUGCCAGCAGCCGCGGUAAAACGUAGGACGCGAGCGUUAUCCGGAGUUACUGGGCGUAAAGGGCGGGUAGGCGGCUCAUCAAGUUGGAUGUGAAAUCUCCUGGCUAAACUGGGAGGGGGCAUUCGAAACUGAAGGGCUAGAGGGCAGCAGAGGGUCGUGGAAUUCCGGGUGGAGUGGUGAAAUGCGUAGAGAUCCGGAGGAACACCAGAGGCGAAAGCGGCGACCUGGGCUGUAACUGACGCUGAACCGCGAAAGCCAGGGGAGCGAACGGGAUUAGAUACCCCAGUAGUCC
RNAcentral lists this ribosomal RNA (292 nucleotides) under uncultured bacterium. RNAcentral describes it as "partial 16S ribosomal RNA". It matches the Rfam family "Bacterial small subunit ribosomal RNA", at positions 505 to 796 of the family's 1533-position model. The record is from RNAcentral.